GAUGAACGCUAGCGACAGGCUUAACACAUGCAAGUCGAGGGGCAGCGGGGAGUAGCAAUACUUCGCCGGCGACCGCGCACGGUGGAGUAACACGUGUGCAACCAACCCCGUACCGGGAGAUAACCCGACCGGAAACGUAGGACUAACAAUCCCACUGAUACUCGAGAGCCGCAUGGCUCUAGAUUUAAAAUUACCGGUGGUACGGGACGGGCACGCGCGACAUUAGGUAGUUGGCGGGGUAAGGGCCCACCAAGCCGACGAUGUCUAGGGGUUCUGAGAGGAAGGUCCCCCCACAUGGAACUGAGACACGGUCCAGACUCCUACGGGAGGCA
Molecule: ribosomal RNA, 332 nt
Filed under: uncultured bacterium
Lineage: Bacteria
Description: bacterial SSU rRNA
Rfam family: Bacterial small subunit ribosomal RNA
Source: RNAcentral